CCCUUAGAUGUUCUGGGCCGCACGCGUGCUACACUGAGUGGAUCAGCGGGUCAGGUUGCGCGAAAGCGUUUCCUAAUCUUUAAAUCCGCUCGUGAUGGGGAUUGACGGUUGCAAUUUUCUGUCAUGAACGAGGAAUACCUUGUAAGCGCGGGUCAUCAUCCCGCGCUGAAUACGUCCCUGCCCUUUGUACACACCGCCCGUCGCUCCUACCGAUUGAGUGGUCCGGUGAGGCUUUGGGAUCUGAGCGGAAGGAGCGUCUCGCUGUUUCUGCUCGGAAAACUCAGUCGAACCUUAUCAUUUAGAGGAAGGAGAAGUCGUAACA
Molecule: ribosomal RNA, 322 nt
Filed under: uncultured eukaryote
Lineage: Eukaryota
Description: partial 18S ribosomal RNA
Rfam family: Eukaryotic small subunit ribosomal RNA
Source: RNAcentral